RNAcentral lists this long non-coding RNA (645 nucleotides) under Mytilus galloprovincialis (Mediterranean mussel). Lineage: Eukaryota; Metazoa; Mollusca; Bivalvia; Mytilida; Mytilidae. The record is from RNAcentral.
UUUAUGUAGUUCAUAUGUGUUUUUCGUUUCUCGUUGGUUUUCCCGUUUGAAUGGUUUUACACUAGUAGUUUUGGGGCCCUCUAUAACUUGCUGUUCGGUGUGAGCCAAGGCUCCGUGUUGCAGGUCGUACCUUGACCUAUAAUGGUUUACUUUUAUGAAUUAUUACUUGGGAGGAGAGUUGUCUCAUUGGCACUCAUACCACAUCUUCCUAUAUCUAUCUAUAUCUAUACAUUUUUUUUUUCAACAAAAGAAUACAUCUCAAGAAUAUAAGUUUUGUAAGAAACGUGAGAAAUUGUGUUGGACUUGAAGAUAAGGCAAAGUGACAAAUAUCUGAAAGAAUGAAUCGUUUUAUGGUAUUAAACAAAGAAAUCAAAUGAUUUUUUAAUUAUCCAGAACUCUUCACAAACAAAACCCACAUGUAUACGCAUUGAAUAAAUAGUAGGCCAUUCUUAAAUGAUCACACCGUAGAAGUAGUUGUGCUCUUAAUCAAUGAGAUAUUUUGUGAAUUAACCCCAUCAACUUAAUAGUUUUUUUUACAAUGGAUAAACCUAUUUUUUUUUAUUAUUAUUAAAUAAUAUCAUCUCUGAACAUUAUUAUUCUUAUAAAUGACACGGUUGUAUGUGAUGAUUAUAAUAAAUAUUUAAA